This 378-nucleotide ribosomal RNA is filed under the name uncultured eukaryote. Its description in RNAcentral is "SSU rRNA". It matches the Rfam family "Eukaryotic small subunit ribosomal RNA", at positions 587 to 972 of the family's 1831-position model. The record is from RNAcentral.
AGCUCUGUAAGCGUAUACCAAAGUUGUUGCAGUUAAAACGCUCGUAGUCGGAUUUUGGCGUGUACUUCUGAGACCCCUGAUGGGUGUUGAAGGUUUGUUACCGCCUUUGCGGAGGGGGGUGUGGUGGUGCUUGAUUGUAUCGCUGCAUUUCCGCCGCUGUUUACUGUGAAAAAAUUAGAGUGUUCAAAGCGAGCGAUUGCCAUGAAUACAUUAGCAUGGAAUAAUAGAAUAGGACCUGGUUCUGUUUUAUUGGUUUGUCGGUAUCAGGUAAUGAUUAAGAGGGACGGUCGGGGGCAUUUGUAUUCCAGGGUUAGAGGUGAAAUUCUUAGAUCCUUGGAAGACAAACAGCUGCGAAAGCGUCUGCCAAGGACGUUUUCA